Molecule: ribosomal RNA, 811 nt
Filed under: uncultured bacterium
Lineage: Bacteria
Description: bacterial SSU rRNA
Rfam family: Bacterial small subunit ribosomal RNA
Source: RNAcentral
CAUGCAAGUCGAACGAUGAAGAGCAGCUUGCUGCUUGGAUUAGUGGCGCACGGGUGAGUAAUAUAUAGGUAAUGUGCCUCUUAGUCUGGGAUAGCCAUUGGAAACGAUGAUUAAUACUGGAUACUCCUUCUAACUCUAAUGUUAGUCGGGAAAGUUUUUCGCUAAGAGAUCAGCCUAUAUCCCAUCAGUUAGUUGGUAAGGUAACGGCUUACCAAGGCAAUGACGGGUAGCGGGUUUGAGAGGAUGAUCCGCCACACUGGUACUGAGACACGGACCAGACUCCUACGGGAGGCAGCAGUGAGGAAUAUUGCACAAUGGGGGAAACCCUGAUGCAGCAACGCCGCGUGGAGGAUGACGCAUUUCGGUGUGUAAACUCCUUUUAUAUGUCAAGAAAAUGACGGUAGCAUAUGAAUAAGCACCGGCUAACUCCGUGCCAGCAGCCGCGGUAAUACGGAGGGUGCAAGCGUUACUCGGAAUCACUGGGCGUAAAGGACGCGUAGGCGGAUUGGAAAGUCAGAUGUGAAAUCCUACAGCUUAACUGUAGAACUGCAUUUGAAACUUCUAAUCUAGAGUAUGGGAGGGGGAGAUGGAAUUAGUGGUGUAGGGGUAAAAUCCGUAGAUAUCACUAGGAAUACCGAAAGCGAAGGCGAUCUCCUGGAACAUUACUGACGCUAAGGCGUGAAAGCGUGGGGAGCAAACAGGAUUAGAUACCCUGGUAGUCCACGCCCUAAACGAUGAACACUAGUCGUCGGGAUGCUUGUCAUCUCGGUGAUGCACUUAACAGAUUAAGUGUUCCGCCUGGGGAGUACGG